This is a non-coding RNA of Labrus bergylta (ballan wrasse), 533 nucleotides long. NCBI's taxonomy places the organism in Eukaryota, Metazoa, Chordata, Actinopteri, Labriformes, Labridae. The record is from RefSeq and is a predicted model, not a curated record.
CUUCAAGCAACAACAACAUUCACCACUUGGAUUUACAUCAUUCAUCUCUAAAAUAAAUACCUGUGGACAAAUGAAACACAAACACCUGAGGGAUGCUCACGUCUUCAAAGGUGUGUCCAGCCAGCCCCCCUCCCCAUACAACGAGAUGCAACACCUCCCGGAGAGGAGCGAUGGAAGAUACAGAGAAGGAGAUCAUUGUGCUGACGGAUUACGAGAGGGAGGAAAAGGAUGUUUUGAAGUGGAGCACCUGAACUGCUGAAGGACGCUUUACCUGCGUGGAUCUGCUGGAUUAUUACCUGUGUGACACCUGGGCAGACUGCUGCAGUGGAUUAUUACAGAUUUGUUCCUGUCACAGUGAAUGGGUCGUCUCCUGAAGUCUCGUCUUGCAACACACACACACACCGAGUUUUCAUACACUCUCAUUUCACCACUUUUAUACAAGUAACACAUUGAAGGACUUCCUCAAACAGUGCUGACAUUUUUAACCAUGCCAUCAAAUGAUCCAUCUCAUGUGUGCCAACUUUUCGCCAAGU